CUUGGAAAUGACGCUUCGGUUGAUUUUCCAAGCGGACAGCGGCGGACGGGUGAGUAACGCGUAGGCAACCUGCCCCUGACAGAGGGAUAGCCAUUGGAAACGAUGAUUAAAACCUCAUGACACCGUAGUAGCACAUGCUCCAUCGGUCAAAGAUUUAUCGGUCAGGGAUGGGCCUGCGUCUGAUUAACUGGUUGGUGAGGUAACGGCUCCCAAGGUGACGAUCAGUAGCCGACCUGAGAGGGUGAUCGGCCACAUUGGAACUGAGACACGGUCCAAACUUCUACGGAAGGCAGCAGUAGGGAAUCUUGCACAAUGGGCGAAAGCCUGAUGCAGCAACGCCGCGUGAAGGAUGAAGGCCUUCGGGUUGUAAACUUCUGUUCUAAGGGAAGAAAGA
Molecule: ribosomal RNA, 394 nt
Filed under: Mogibacterium timidum
Lineage: Bacteria; Bacillati; Bacillota; Clostridia; Peptostreptococcales; Anaerovoracaceae
Description: bacterial SSU rRNA
Rfam family: Bacterial small subunit ribosomal RNA
Source: RNAcentral